AUACUUACCUGGCAGGGGACAUACCAUGAAGAUGAAGGUGGUUUUCCCAGGGCGAGACUUACCUAUUGCUCUCCAGAUGUGCAGACCUCUGCAAUUUCUCCAAACAUGGGAAACUCUACUGCAUAAUUUAUGGUAGAGGGGGACCGCAUUAGUGCUCUCCCCUG
Pteronotus mesoamericanus is the source of this 164-nucleotide small nuclear RNA. RefSeq annotates it as U1 spliceosomal RNA. The record is from RefSeq and is a predicted model, not a curated record. Lineage: Eukaryota; Metazoa; Chordata; Mammalia; Chiroptera; Mormoopidae. The transcript has a single exon.